Molecule: long non-coding RNA, 362 nt
Filed under: Solanum tuberosum (potato)
Lineage: Eukaryota; Viridiplantae; Streptophyta; Magnoliopsida; Solanales; Solanaceae
Description: long non-coding RNA (STUB_LNC007034)
Source: RNAcentral
AUCGUGCCAAUCUAUUAGCAGUUUUGAAAGACAUGGAGGAGGAGAAACUAAAGCUAUCUGUGAAAGUGCAAAAUGCACGGCUUAGCUUAAAGGAGUAAAUCCUUUCAUUCAUUUUUCUUGUUUCAAAUGAUUGUGAAUAGAGUAAAUCCUUUCAUUUAUUUUUCUUGUUUCAAAUGCUUGUGAAUUUAGUCCUCAUUUAUGAGAAGCAUGAAGAUGAAAUAUACAUGGCCAGAAUUCAGCUAGCAUAUUUUUCUUCACCUCCAGUGAUGUUGGCGGAUCUAGGAUUUUCAUUAAGGAGGGUUCGACACGAUGAAUUUUGAAGCCCUUCAACCAAUUAAUCAACCUUUAAUCUUAUGUUCUGG